This 206-nucleotide unclassified non-coding RNA is filed under the name uncultured Tremellodendropsidales. RNAcentral's name for it is "sequence contains ITS2". Lineage: Eukaryota; Fungi; Basidiomycota; Agaricomycetes; Tremellodendropsidales. The record is from RNAcentral.
AACUCUCAAACCGUAUCUUUAUUGAUGUCGGGCUUGGAUUUGGACGUUGCUGGGUUAACGCUCGGCUCGUCUCAAAAGCAUCAGCUGAUCUCCCUUGACCCUCAGUUUUUCGGCGUGAUAACUAUCUACGUCGGAGCCCGUCAAAAGGCGCUGAGGUCAACAUCCGAGGAUCGCUUCUAAUCGUCCUAGGACAACGUUUUCAUCAC